GGGUCUCCGCGCUUGUCCCGCCGGCCCCGGCCUCGCCGCCCCGCGCAGUGCCCAGCCCGGCCCUGCCGACCCGCUUCUACCGCUGGCUCCGCGCCCUUCCCCGAGGGCUGGAUGAUGGGCUCUUUCGCCCUGCAAACGGUGGACACCGAGCUGACCGCGGACUCGGUGGAGUGGUGCCCGCUGCAAGGCUGCAGGCACCUGCUGGCGUGCGGGACCUACCAGCUGCGGCGGCCGGAGGACCGGCCUGCCGGCCCCCAGAACAAGGUGUCACAUCCCGGUGGGUGGACAUGCCCUCUUGGGCUUGGCAGAUGCCAGUGGAUCCAUACAACUGCUCCGCCUGGUGGAAUAUGAGAAGAGCCACGUGCUGGAGCCAUUGUCCAGCCUUGCCCUGGAGGAGCAGUGUCUGGCUUUGUCCCUAGAUUGGUCCACUGGGAAAACUGGAAGGGCCGGGGACCAGCCCUUGAAGAUCAUCAGCAGUGACUCCACAGGGCAGCUUCACCUCCUGAUGGUGAAUGAGACGGGGCCCAGGCUGCAGAAAGUGGCCUCAUGGCAGGCACAUCAAUUCGAGGCCUGGAUUGCUGCUUUCAAUUACUGGCAUACAGAAAUUGUGUAUUCAGGGGGCGACGAUGGCCUUCUGAGGGGCUGGGACACCAGGGUACCCGGCAAAUUUCUCUUCACUAGCAAAAGGUAACUGCCCAAGGGCCAGCACUUGGUGCCCACACCAGCCCUCCGGUUCCCUGGGUCAGCAGCCCUCCCGUUUCCUGGGUGGGUCCGUGUGCUGAGCACUGGUUCAGACGCCGCCUCUGCUUGCAGACACACCAUGGGCGUGUGCAGCAUCCAGAGCAGCCCCCAUCGGGAGCACAUCCUGGCCACGGGAAGCUAUGAUGAGCACAUCCUACUGUGGGACACACGAAACAUGAAGCAGCCGUUGGCAGACACGCCCGUGCAGGGUGGGGUAUGGAGAAUCAAGUGGCACCCUUUCCACCACCACCUGCUCCUGGCCGCCUGCAUGCACAGUGGCUUUAAGAUCCUCAACUGCCAAAAGGCAAUGGAGGAGAAGCAGGAGGCGACGGUCCUGACAUCUCACACAUUGCCCGACUCGCUGGUGUAUGGAGCCGACUGGUCCUGGCUGCUCUUCCGUUCUCUGCAGCGGGCCCCCUCGUGGUCCUUUCCUAGCAACCUAGGAACCAAGACGGCAGACCUGAAGGGUGCAAGCGAGUUGCCAACACCCUGUCAUGAAUGCAUAGAGGAUAACGAUGGGGAGGGCCAUGCCAGACCCCAGAGUGGAAUGAAGCCACUCACAGAGGGCAUGAGGAAGAAUGGCACCUGGCUGCAGGCUACAGCAGUCACCACACGUGACUGUGGCGUGAAUCCAGAAGAAGCAGACUCAGCCUUCAGCCUCCUGGCCACCUGCUCCUUCUAUGACCAUGUGCUCCACCUCUGGGAGUGGGAGGGGAACUGAGCUUGAAAUCAUGAAGCCCCUUCCCACAAGGAGACCAGGAGGGAGACUGAGUGAAUGCCCGGGACCACCUCGUCGGAGAUGCUUACUGCAGCCCUGCAGGUGCCUGUGCACUGAUGGAAUCCACAGUGUAGUCAGAAAAGCUGUUGACUUCUCUUAAAUAAACUUCCCUGCUGGGCCCCUGAAAGUGGACUGGGUGAUUCUGUCUGGCAGAGAGUGGGGAAAAGACUCGGUUUCCAGCUUGCAGAUUUGUUAAGUUUCUCAGGCAGAUUUUGACUUUCAGCCUUUCAUACUUGUUUAAGCAACUAUUUAUAUUAAAUGAAUUUUUUUGAAAAA
This 1795-nucleotide small RNA is filed under the name Pongo abelii (Sumatran orangutan). RNAcentral describes it as "processed transcript". The record is from RNAcentral. Lineage: Eukaryota; Metazoa; Chordata; Mammalia; Primates; Hominidae.